This 490-nucleotide ribosomal RNA is filed under the name uncultured bacterium. RNAcentral describes it as "partial 16S ribosomal RNA". It matches the Rfam family "Bacterial small subunit ribosomal RNA", at positions 30 to 507 of the family's 1533-position model. The record is from RNAcentral.
AUUGAACGCUGGUGGCAGGCUUAACACAUGCAAGUCGAACGGUAACAGGAAUUAGCUUGCUAAUUUGCUGACGAGUGGCGGACGGGUGAGUAAUGCUUGGGAAUCUGGCUUAUGGAGGGGGAUAACUACGGGAAACUGUAGCUAAUACCGCGUAAAAUCUUCGGAUUAAAGGGUGGGACUUUCGAGCCACCUGCCAUACGAUGAGCCCAAGUGGGAUUAGGUAGUUGGUUAGGUAAAGGCUGACCAAGCCGACGAUCUCUAGCUGGUCUGAGAGGAUGACCAGCCACACUGGAACUGAGACACGGUCCAGACUCCUACGGGAGGCAGCAGUGGGGAAUAUUGCACAAGGGGGGGAACCCUGAUGCAGCCAUGCCGCGUGAAUGAAGAAGGCCUUCGGGUUGUAAAGUUCUUUCGGUGACGAGGAAGGUUGAUAGGUUAAUAGCCUAUCAAAUUGACGUUACUCACAGAAGAAGCACCGGCUAACUCCGUG